RNAcentral lists this ribosomal RNA (253 nucleotides) under uncultured bacterium. RNAcentral describes it as "partial 16S ribosomal RNA". It matches the Rfam family "Bacterial small subunit ribosomal RNA", at positions 524 to 776 of the family's 1533-position model. The record is from RNAcentral.
UACGAAGGGGGCGAGCGUUGUUCGGAUUUACUGGGCGUAAAGGGCGCGCAGGCGGCUUUGUUUGUCAGGCGUGAAAGCCCCGGGCUUAACCUGGGAACUGCGUUUGAUACGGCAGGGCUAGAGUUCGGGAGAGGAGAGUGGAAUUCCCAGUGUAGAGGUGAAAUUCGUAGAUAUUGGGAAGAACACCGGUGGCGAGGGCGGCUCUCUGGACCGAUACUGACGCUGAGGCGCGAAAGCGUGGGGAGCAAACAGG